UACGUAGGUGGCAAGCGUUGUCCGGAUUUACUGGGCGUAAAGAGCGCGCAGGCGGUCGAUCAAGUCGCGUGUGAAAGCCCCCGGCUCAACUGGGGAGGGUCACGCGAUACUGAUCGACUCGAAGGCAGGAGAGGGUAGUGGAAUUCCCGGUGUAGUGGUGAAAUGCGUAGAUAUCGGGAGGAACACCAGUGGCGAAGGCGACUACCUGGGCUGUUUCUUGACGCUGAGGCGCGAAAGCUAGGGGAGCAAACGGG
This 254-nucleotide ribosomal RNA is filed under the name uncultured bacterium. RNAcentral describes it as "partial 16S ribosomal RNA". It matches the Rfam family "Bacterial small subunit ribosomal RNA", at positions 524 to 776 of the family's 1533-position model. The record is from RNAcentral.